This 115-nucleotide transfer RNA is filed under the name Kwoniella mangroviensis CBS 8507. Its description in RNAcentral is "tRNA-Met". It matches the Rfam family "tRNA". Rfam says of the family: Transfer RNA (tRNA) molecules are approximately 80 nucleotides in length. Their secondary structure includes four short double-helical elements and three loops (D, anti-codon, and T loops). Further hydrogen bonds mediate the characteristic L-shaped molecular structure. tRNAs have two regions of fundamental functional importance: the anti-codon, which is responsible for specific mRNA codon recognition, and the 3' end, to which the tRNAs corresponding amino acid is attached (by aminoacyl-tRNA synthetases). tRNAs cope with the degeneracy of the genetic code in two manners: having more than one tRNA (with a specific anti-codon) for a particular amino acid; and 'wobble' base-pairing, i.e. permitting non-standard base-pairing at the 3rd anti-codon position. Lineage: Eukaryota; Fungi; Basidiomycota; Tremellomycetes; Tremellales; Cryptococcaceae. The record is from RNAcentral. RNAcentral also lists the same sequence under 1 other name.
GCCGCGAUCGCUUAGUUGGUUAAAGCAAGGGUCUCAUAGCAACACAUCCAGAACUGUGAGCCUUGAUAUGUAAAGGUGUAAUCCCUAGCCCAGAGUUCGAGCCUCUGUCAUGGCA